RNAcentral lists this ribosomal RNA (488 nucleotides) under gamma proteobacterium G121102S102. RNAcentral describes it as "bacterial SSU rRNA". It matches the Rfam family "Bacterial small subunit ribosomal RNA", at positions 79 to 567 of the family's 1533-position model. Lineage: Bacteria; Pseudomonadati; Pseudomonadota; Gammaproteobacteria. The record is from RNAcentral.
ACUUCUCGCUAGACGAGCGGCGGACGGGUGAGUAAUGCUUGGGAACAUGCCUUGAGGUGGGGGACAACAGUUGGAAACGACUGCUAAUACCGCAUAAUGUCUACGGACCAAAGGGGGCUUCGGCUCUCGCCUUUAGAUUGGCCCAAGUGGGAUUAGCUAGUUGGUGAGGUAAUGGCUCACCAAGGCGACGAUCCCUAGCUGGUUUGAGAGGAUGAUCAGCCACACUGGGACUGAGACACGGCCCAGACUCCUACGGGAGGCAGCAGUGGGGAAUAUUGCACAAUGGGCGCAAGCCUGAUGCAGCCAUGCCGCGUGUGUGAAGAAGGCCUUCGGGUUGUAAAGCACUUUCAGUCAGGAGGAAAGGUUAACGGUUAAUACCCGUUAGCUGUGACGUUAUCUGACAUGAAGAAGCACCGGCUAACUCCGUGCCAGCAGCCGCGGUAAUACGGAGGGUGCGAGCGUUAAUCGGAAUUACUGGGCGUAAAGCG